GCUGCACCUGCAGCAUAUGGAAGUUCCUAGGCUAGGGGUCCAGUCUGAGCUACAGCUGUUGGCCUAUGCCACAGCCACAGCAAUGUAGGAUCUGAGCCUCAUCAGAGACCUACACCACAACUCAGAGUAAUGCCAGAUCCUUAACCCACUGAGCGAGGCCAGGAUCAAACCCACAACCUGAUGGUUCCUAGUUGGAUUUCUUUCUGCUGCACCACGAUGGGAACUCCUGGUUACCUCCACCCAGAAACCACCCAUGAGCACUCCGAACAAAAAAGUAGCCCCUACCCUUCUCUAUCCCUUUAACUUUAUUUAAUUUUUUCCCAUGAUAUUGUUACUACUUGACAUAACAUUAUCCAUCCAUCUACAUAAUUAAUUAUGUUAUUUAUAUGAAUUAUCAUCACAUAACUAAUUAUUAGAGAAAUAAACCAUUUAACAAGCUGAAAAUGAUACUUUUAAAAGGUAGUUUGGCUAUUCUUUGAAGUAGACAAGACUUUGAUGAAGAUCAGUGCUGUUCACAAUGUGGUUAUAGAGCAAGACUAAUCUAUGAGCCACUUGAGAUCCGACCACAAAGAAUAGAGAGCUUGCAUGAGGAUGCAAGUUAAAGUGCUGCUUCCUUCCUUGAGAAAGACAUACCAGGAAAAAGAUAUGAAAUGAACUAAACUGUGUGCUUAAUGGCAUAGUUGACUUACAUUCUGUUGCAGAUCAGUUACAAAGAGCUCAUGGAUCAGCACUUUUUGUUUUUUGCUUGUUUUAUUGCCAUUUUAGCUACUCCUGUGGCAUAUGAAGGUUCCUAGGCUAGGGGUUGAAUCAGAGUUGAACCGCUAGCUUGCACCACAGCCACAGCAACACCAGAUCCGAGCGGUGUCUGUGACCUACACUGCAGCUCACGGCAACAUCGGAUCCUUAACCCACUGAGUGAGGCAGGGAUUGAACCUGCAUCCUCACGGAUGCUAGUCAGAUUUGUUUCCACUGAGCCACAACUAGAACUCCUGGACCAGCAUUUUGAGUAACACUGAUGUAGAUCAUCUAGUCCAGGGUCCCUUGCAGCUUCUUACCUACAGCUGUGAAAACUAUUUUUUAAUCUCUCAAUAUACUUGGAGAUAAUUAAGCGUGCUGUGAGGAAGUCGCCCCUUCCACACACACAUAUAUGUGACAUAUACAUUAAUGACGACUUCGGAAUAUAUGUAUUGAUGACGUGUAUCAAGUGGAGGAGAGAGGAUAGAUAUGAAAGAAGACAAAACAGAUUUUCUAUUGAGAAUCAUACUGCAAUGUACAUGCACGAGUAUAAUUUGACAAAUCAGGUGUGCUAGAAAAAUAGGUAAUCUCUACUACCUGACAGAAGAAAUAAGCUUCUUUCAGGUUGAGGAUCAAAUUUCUCUCUCAUUUUAUAUCCCUACAGAAGAAGAUGCUACACAAAAAUCUUCACUCUUUGGCAUGCAAACAUUAUUAAUUCAGCAGAUAUUUACCCGUGUCCACCAUGAACCAGGGACUGGGGACCCAGUGGAAACAAGACAGAGAUUCUGGCUUUCCAGAAAUUCAACUUUCGUGGAGACAGAAAGAAAAACUAAUCAAAAUUGUUUUACAACCCAACUCUGUAUUUUCUAAGAGUAUUACUGAUGAUAUUAAUGACAAUAUAGGGUGUUCACAUUACCUGGCAUGAAAAUUAGGGGGUGUUAGUCCACCAAACUCCUUGAGACUUAGCAAGAGAGGAGAUGAAAUAAACCUCUAUUAUUACAAUAUCCUCUUUAGUCUCACAAAUUGACCUAUUUUUUUUAAAAAGAAAAAACUUCAACAUUACUUCCAAGAAAACACGCAGCCAUUCCAAAAUAUUUUUCUUUUUUUUUCAGUUUGAUGAUAUUUAUGAAUACCAUUUUCUAUAAAAAAUACAAAUACUCCAGUGGCUUUAAAGUAUUUUUCUAAGGAUGAAAAAUUUUAAAUGUCUUCAAUUUAAAAAAAAAGUUUCACGUGGUCCUUUAAUAUGAUUUAAACAAAAUACCCUCUUGCCCCUCUGCCCAACAGAACAAUACUUGAUACUCUGAACUUUUGUUUUAAAUUAAAGUUUAGCUGAUUUACAGUGUUGUGUCAAUUUCUGCUGUACACAUUCUUUUUCUCAUAAUUCAUCAUGUUCUAUCCUCAGAAGAUACAUGCACCUCUAUGUUCACUGCAGCACUAGUCAUAAUAGCUAAGACAUGGAAAUAACCUAAAUGUCCAUCAACAGAUGAAAAGAUUAAGAAGAUGAGGUACAUAUAUACAAUGGAAUACUAUUCAGCCAUGAAAAGAACAAAAUAAUGCCAUUUUCAGCAACAUGGAUGCAACUAGAGAUUCACAUACUAAGUGAAGUCAGAAAGACAAAUACCAUAUGAUACCACUUACAGAUGAAAACUAAAAUAUGGUAGAAACAGAUUCACAGACACAGAGAGCAGACUUUUGCCAAGGGGGAGUGGAAAGGAAGUGGGAUGGUCAGGGAGUUUGGGGUUAAUGGAUGCAAACUAUUAUAUUUAGAGUGGACACUCUGAACUUUGACACAGCCACGCACACAGUAGUCUCUAGACUACUGUUUUCUAUUGGUGAGAAGAGAAAAUCCUGACUCGGCCAAAAAAAAGCUUUCAUAGCUUAAAGACUGUGCUACUUAAUUAAAUCAGGCAUCCUAAAUGGAAAAGAUUUUCUAAUCUAUACUUGCAAACAUGCUGCUCUUUGGCAGCAUGCUUUUGAAAUUUUUCCUAAAAUAAUCACAUUGUGCUGGAUAAUUUUAAGCUGUGGCUAAGGGAAGUUUUCUGCUAUAGCUGACCCCCCCUGCUCUAGAGAGGGUUCCCGGGCGACCACUGUUCCUAUGUGCCUAUCCUACUAUGACUCAUGAGGGGCCAAGCUGCUUGCACUGAAAUUACAGGGGAGGUUUAAAACAUACAGAUUCUCAGGACUCAUCCUGGGUAACUUAGUCCAGAAACAGAGGCCUGUAAUGCCACGCUGUGGGGUUAGAAUUUUAUUUAGACAGCAACGCGGCUGCACCACAAACUUUGAGGCAGAGCAAGGCAUCACAGGAUUUACAUUAAAAUGAAAUAUGAAAGAUGGAUUAGAGGGUGAGCCAAACCCGAGAAGAGGAGAACAUUUAGGAAAGUCUAUAGGGAUCCAGAGUCAGUGAUUAGGGCCAGAAAAACUAAGUGGGAGGAAGGCAGUGUACAGAUUCAGGACAUUUUUUAGGAGGCAGAACUAAAGGAACAUGGUGAAUAAUUACAAGUGGUAGGUGUUGAAAAAACAGAAGGAGCUGACAAUGCCAUCCAUGCUCUGGCUUGGGUUACUGACUUAUGGGAUUUAACUGGGUUGGAGUGGGAAGAAAGAAAAACAAGUGAGAAUCAAAAAUUCAGGAACUCAUCUGGUGCUUUGAAGCACCCCUCUCCUUCUGCAUAAAGGAUAGCUCAGUAUCGCCUGCAAUUAGAGGAAAAGCUUUGGGUAUGUGUGUAACUCAGAACUGGGAUGGUUAUGCCAAAUCAUGGUUCCCUCCACUUCUGGAAAAAUAUUACAAAUUGGAAAGCAUGAAAAGACAUAUUUUGAAGACUCAUCCCAGUAUUGAUUCUAACAUUGGAACAACCUAUGUGUCAACCCCAGAAGAUUGGCUAAAUAAAUAACGAUACAUCUAUACACUGGAGAGCCAUGUAGCAAUUACUAAUGACAUCAUGACCAGGAUGUCUGUCUCCACGUUUAAAGAGAUAAGGGGACUGCAGAAUGGUUUAGACGGUGCGAUCUCCCCAUCCACAAACAGAAAAACACCUGAGAGAACAUAGAUUAAAAGCGUUUCUAUCUGAAUAGAUGAAUUAUAUGUUUUUCCUUU
Molecule: long non-coding RNA, 3826 nt
Filed under: Sus scrofa (pig)
Lineage: Eukaryota; Metazoa; Chordata; Mammalia; Artiodactyla; Suidae
Description: lncRNA (ENSSSCG00035011778.1)
Source: RNAcentral